UUAUUAAUAGUUAAAGAAUAUAACGCUAAACUGCAAUUUUAGAAUUGAUUAACUUCUCCCCA
This 62-nucleotide transfer RNA is filed under the name Bemisia tabaci. RNAcentral describes it as "tRNA-Cys". Lineage: Eukaryota; Metazoa; Arthropoda; Insecta; Hemiptera; Aleyrodidae. The record is from RNAcentral.